Molecule: small RNA, 246 nt
Filed under: Meriones unguiculatus (Mongolian gerbil)
Lineage: Eukaryota; Metazoa; Chordata; Mammalia; Rodentia; Muridae
Description: 7SK RNA (ENSMUGG00000008335.1)
Rfam family: 7SK RNA
About the family: 7SK was discovered as an abundant small nuclear RNA in the mid-70s but a possible function has only recently been suggested. Two independent studies have found that 7SK RNA binds the CDK9/cyclin T complex (known as elongation factor P-TEFb).
Source: RNAcentral
GGAUGUGAGCACAAUUCCAAUGUGACAUCUGUCACCCACUGAUGGGGUUGAUUCAGCUAAUCUGUUUGAGUGGGCAAGUGUCUCCUUCUUCCUUCACUAUGCUGUGUGCACCUUUUAGAAGUUACAUGCUAUGUCAUGGAGGAUGGCUUUCCCAAGUGAGUAGCUAUGCCUUUGCUAGAACUUUCAGACAAGCUACCAAGGAAGCAGAACCCCAUAGAGCCCUAUAGUGUAUGGCUCCUUGACUGU